CCUACGGGAGGCAGCAGUGGGGAAUAUUGGACAAUGGGCGCAAGCCUGAUCCAGCAAUGCCGCGUGAGUGAUGAAGGCCUUAGGGUUGUAAAGCUCUUUUACCCGGGAAGAUAAUGACUGUACCGGGAGAAUAAGCCCCGGCUAACUCCGUGCCAGCAGCCGCGGUAAU
RNAcentral lists this ribosomal RNA (169 nucleotides) under uncultured bacterium. Its description in RNAcentral is "partial 16S ribosomal RNA". It matches the Rfam family "Bacterial small subunit ribosomal RNA", at positions 338 to 524 of the family's 1533-position model. RNAcentral also lists the same sequence under 1 other name. The record is from RNAcentral.